This is a long non-coding RNA of Oncorhynchus tshawytscha (Chinook salmon), 1755 nucleotides long. The record is from Ensembl. NCBI's taxonomy places the organism in Eukaryota, Metazoa, Chordata, Actinopteri, Salmoniformes, Salmonidae.
AUUUGAAUAGGGUUUCAGACCAGGGCCGUAGGGACCUAUUUGAAUAGGGUUUCAGACCAGGGCCGUAGGGACCUAUUGGAAUAGGGUUUCAGACUGUUGGAACUAGUAACAUAAGCAUUUUGCUGCACCUGCUAUAACACUUCCAAAUCUGUGCAAGCAACCAAUACACUUUGGUUGAUUUGGAAAGUAGUGCACUAUAAUAGGGAAUAGGGUUCCAUAGGGCCCUGGUCUAAAGUAGUUCACUAUAUAUAGGGAAUAGGGUGCCAUAGGGCUCUGGUCUAUAGUAGUGCCCUAUAUAGGGAAUAGGGUGCCAUAGGGCUCUGGUCUAUAGUAGUGCCCUAUAUAGGGAGCCGUUUCAGGCGCUGCCAGAGUCUUCAAAGCCCAUGUCCCCCAGAGGGUUUCUGAAGGGUAGGUCCAGGAGUUUUUCCUGACCCCUCUGUAACCUGCAGGAUAAACUCUAUGCCAUAGAACGGACCUCCCAAUUCAAGUCAAUAAUGGCAUACUGGGUGUAGAGGUUCCAUUUUUAUAUUCCAGGCCUGACCGAUAAAGAGCUGUUGGCUAUAUGUUUUCCUUUUUCAAAUCUCUCAUCUAUGACCUCUAGGUGUUUCAAACCUGUCUUCUACAACCUCUAGGUGUUAUAAACCUCUCCUCUACAACCUCUAGGUGUUGUAAACCUCUCAUCUAUGACCUCUAGGUGUUGUAAACCUCUCCUCUACAACCUCUAGGUGUUAUAAACCUCUCCACAACCUCUAGGUGUUUCAAACCUCUCCAGGACCUCUAGGUGUUUCAAACCUCUCCAGGACCUCUAGGUGUUUCAAACCUUUCUAGGACCUCUAGGUGUUUCAAACCUCUCCAGGACCUCUAGGUGUUUCAAACCUUUCUAGGACCUCUAGGUGUUUCAAACCUUUCUAGGACCUCUAGGUGUUUCAAACCUCUCCUCUAGGUGUUCCAAACCUCUCCUCUAGGACCUCUUGUUGCAGCCCUGACCUAGCACACUUGAUUCAAAUAGUCAAGGGCUUGAUGAUUGGUUGACAAGUUGAAUCAGGUGUUCUAGCUCUGGAAUAGUUCAAAUACAUGGAACGGCUGGAGAACCCAGAGGAGAGGUUUGAGAACGGCUGGAGAACCCAGAGGAGAGGUUUGAGAAUGGCUGGAGAACCCAGAGGAGAGGUUUCAGAACGGCUGGAGAACCCAGAGGAGAGGUUUGAGAACGGCUGGAGGUCCCAGAGGAGAGGUUUGAGAACGGCUGGAGAACCCAGAGGAGAGGUUUGAGAACGGCUGGAGGUCCCAGAGGAGAGGUUUGUGAAUGGCUGGAGGUCCCGGGGGAGAGGUUUGAGAACGGCUGGAGGUCUCGGAGGAGAGUUUUGGAACGGCUGGAGAACCCGGAGGAGAGGUUUGGAAAAGGCUGAGCUAUAUGUUUGCCAAACAACUUUACAUGUCUGUUUCACACACAGGAAGGUAUUGCAGUUGAAUCACAAUUCAUGUUGAUUAAAACAAAUGAUAAUGAAAGAUUUGUAUUUCUGUGUGUAGUAACCAGGUAUUAUUAUUGUGUACUGUGUUAGUUUAGAGGUGUUACAGAGUGAAAGAUGGGGGUAACAGGAAGAGGAGGAGUCGAAGAGCAAUGGGCUGGAUGACAGGAAGGGGAGGAGUCAUAGGGCAGUGGGCUGGAUGACAGGAAGAGGAGGAGUCAUAGGGCAGUGGGCUGGAUGACAGGAAGAGGAGGAGUCAUAGGGCAGUGGGCUGGAUGACAGGAAGAGG